This 375-nucleotide ribosomal RNA is filed under the name uncultured organism. RNAcentral's name for it is "bacterial SSU rRNA". It matches the Rfam family "Bacterial small subunit ribosomal RNA", at positions 526 to 897 of the family's 1533-position model. The record is from RNAcentral.
CGUAGGGUGCAAGCGUUAAUCGGAAUUACUGGGCGUAAAGCGUGCGCAGGCGGCGCCGCAAGUCAGGCGUGAAAUCCCCGAGCUCAACUUGGGAAUUGCGCUUGAAACUACGGUGCUCGAGUAUGGCAGAGGGAGGUGGAAUUCCACGUGUAGCGGUGAAAUGCGUAGAGAUGUGGAGGAACACCGAUGGCGAAGGCAGCCUCCCUGGGGCCAAUACUGACGCUCAUGCACGAAAGCGUGGGGAGCAAACAGGAUUAGAUACCCUGGUAGUCCACGCCCUAAACGAUGAUGACUAGUUGUUGGGGGGUUAAAUCCCUUAGUAACGCAGCUAACGCGUGAAGUCAUCCGCCUGGGGAGUACGGUCGCAAAGAUUAA